This 252-nucleotide ribosomal RNA is filed under the name uncultured bacterium. RNAcentral's name for it is "partial 16S ribosomal RNA". It matches the Rfam family "Archaeal small subunit ribosomal RNA", at positions 474 to 724 of the family's 1478-position model. The record is from RNAcentral.
UACCAGCACCCCCGAGUGGUCGGGACGUUUAUUGGGCCUAAAGCAUCCGUAGCCGGUUCUACAAGUCUUCCGUUAAAUCCAACUGCUUAACAGGUGGGCUGCGGAAGAUACUAUAGAGCUAGGAGGCGGGAGAGGCAAGCGGUACUCGAUGGGUAGGGGUAAAAUCCGUUGAUCCAUUGAAGACCACCAGUGGCGAAGGCGGCUUGCCAGAACGCGCUCGACGGUGAGGGAUGAAAGCUGGGGGGAGCAAAC